This 530-nucleotide unclassified non-coding RNA is filed under the name Scleria pulchella. RNAcentral's name for it is "partial external transcribed spacer 1". The record is from RNAcentral. Lineage: Eukaryota; Viridiplantae; Streptophyta; Magnoliopsida; Poales; Cyperaceae.
AAGCGGGCUCCCCGCAUAUUUGUGCGGCCAACCGUUUCGGAGCUUGUUUUUUGAGUGUCCCGCCCGAUGCACAAAAAUUAGCUUGGGCGGUGUGAUGAAUGGGUUGGUGCCUGUGUUGCUACUCUUUUUGGUAGAAUGUUUGUUUUGUGACUACGGCAUGUCAUGUUGCCUUCGAUUAUGAUUUUGAGAAAGUUGCGUGGGCUAUUGAAACAUUGGCUAUGUUUGGGAGCGAUUGAUGGGUCUCGACUCGUCCGCAGCUCGCAUCAUAUUAUAUGAGCAGCUCUUUCGGAUAUGGUGGCUAUGUGGGUUCUUGCGGUCCUCUUCGGUCUGCAUGCGACCUCAUAGUACACCCGUAACUGUUCAUCGUGCGGUUGGAUCUUGUGGCAUCUUUGCGUUCCCGCUUUUGCUCUCAUGCCGGAGCAAAGGCGGGGCGUGGGGAUACCGAUGCUGGAUAAUGGGGGCGGUGCAGUACGUGUGGGAGUUCUAUGAUACAUUAGUGAUUGCUGUUGCGUGCGUGUGUAUUGGCAUUC